AAAGUUACUAGUGAACAGGACAGAACGGGACUGGGACAGAACGGGACUGGGACAUGGAUGUAUAAAUCCAUAAAAUAGGUAGGGGUAAAGUUACUAGGGAACAGGACAGAACGGGACUGGGACAGAACGGGACUGGGACAUGGAUGUAUAAAUCCAUAAAAUAGGUAGGGGUAAAGUUACUAGGGAACAGGACAGAACGGGACUGGGACAUGGUGCUAUAAAUCCAUAAAAUAGGUAGGGGUAAAGUUACUAGGGAACAGAACAUAACGGGACUGGGACAGAACGGGACUGGGACAUGGAUGUAUAAAUCCAUAACAUAGGUAGGGGUAAAGUUACUAGUGAACAGGACAGAACGGGACUGGGACAGAACGGGACUGGGACAUGGAUGUAUAAAUCCAUAAAAUAGCUAGGGGUAAAGUUACUAGUGAACAGGACAGAACGGGACUGGGACAGAACGGGACUGGGACAUGGAUGUAUAAAUCCAUAAAAUAGGUAGGGGUAAAGUUACUAGGGAACAGGACAGAACGGGACUGGGACAGAACGGGACUGGGACAUGGAUGUAUAAAUCCAUAAAAUAGGUAGGGGUAAAGUUACUAGGGAACAGGACAGAACGGGACUGGGACAUGGUGGUAUAAAUCCAUAAAAUAGGUAGGGGUAAAGUUACUAGGGAACAGGACAGAACGGGACUGGGACAGAACGGGUCUGGGACAUGGAUGUAUAAAUCCAUAACAUAGCUAGGGGUAAAGUUACUAGGGAACAGGACAGAAGGGGACUGGGACAUGGAUGUAUAAAUCCAUAACAUAGCUAGGGGUAAAGUUACUAGGGAACAGGACAGAACGGGACUGGGACAUGGAUGUAUAAAUCCAUAAAAUAGGUAGGG
This is a long non-coding RNA of Oncorhynchus keta (chum salmon), 880 nucleotides long. RefSeq lists it as uncharacterized. NCBI's taxonomy places the organism in Eukaryota, Metazoa, Chordata, Actinopteri, Salmoniformes, Salmonidae. The record is from RefSeq and is a predicted model, not a curated record. The transcript has 3 exons.